RNAcentral lists this transfer RNA (77 nucleotides) under Fusobacteriota bacterium. RNAcentral's name for it is "Fusobacteria bacterium tRNA-Ile". It matches the Rfam family "tRNA". From Rfam's summary of the family: Transfer RNA (tRNA) molecules are approximately 80 nucleotides in length. Their secondary structure includes four short double-helical elements and three loops (D, anti-codon, and T loops). Lineage: Bacteria; Fusobacteriati; Fusobacteriota. The record is from RNAcentral.
ACGCCUAUAGCUCAGCUGGUUAGAGCGCACCCCUGAUAAGGGUGAGGUCGGUGGUUCGAGUCCACUUAGGCGUACCA